AUAGCAUACAGAUUCUUUAUCUUAUUAGUUUAUAUAUAAUAUAGAAUCUUUUAUUAUUUAACGUUGAUAACAAGAUCUACAAGACUUAAAAACACAUAAUUUUAACAUAUAGUAAACAACAAGGUGUAAUUCCACCACAAUUUGUUGCACAAACUGCUAAAAUAACUUAUAACAACUUAUUCUGGUGAUCUGGGAAUUGGGAAAUGUUCUUGAGCAGCAUCAGACCUUUAUCAGGACGCUUUGUCCUUUGGCGAUGACGGAAGCAACUGAUAACAUGAAAUCAGCGAGCUAACGAAGCCAAAGGCUCCCGUUACACGAGGGGUGACUUUCUUGGGUGCCAAUUGAAG
Molecule: unclassified non-coding RNA, 347 nt
Filed under: Hevea brasiliensis (rubber tree)
Lineage: Eukaryota; Viridiplantae; Streptophyta; Magnoliopsida; Malpighiales; Euphorbiaceae
Source: RNAcentral